RNAcentral lists this ribosomal RNA (639 nucleotides) under uncultured bacterium. RNAcentral's name for it is "bacterial SSU rRNA". The stretch from base 1 to 547 matches the Rfam family "Bacterial small subunit ribosomal RNA", at positions 338 to 873 of the family's 1533-position model. The record is from RNAcentral.
CCUACGGGAGGCAGCAGUGGGGAAUUUUGGACAAUGGGCGAAAGCCUGAUCCAGCCAUGCCGCGUGAGUGAAGAAGGCCUUCGGGUUGUAAAGCUCUUUCAGCCGGAAAGAAAUCGCGCAGGCUAAUACUCUGCGUGGAUGACGGUACCGGAAGAAGAAGCACCGGCUAACUACGUGCCAGCAGCCGCGGUAAUACGUAGGGUGCGAGCGUUAAUCGGAAUUACUGGGCGUAAAGCGUGCGCAGGCGGUUAUAUAAGACAGAUGUGAAAUCCCCGGGCUCAACCUGGGAACUGCGUUUGUGACUGUAUGACUAGAGUACGGCAGAGGGAGGUGGAAUUCCGCGUGUAGCAGUGAAAUGCGUAGAUAUGCGGAGGAACACCGAUGGCGAAGGCAGCCUCCUGGGCCAGUACUGACGCUCAUGCACGAAAGCGUGGGGAGCAAACAGGAUUAGAUACCCUGGUAGUCCACGCCCUAAACGAUGUCAACUAGUUGUUCGGUGAGGACGACUCAUGUAGUAACGACGAGACUACGACGUGAGUAGACCGCCGUCGGGAGGUACGGACCGCGAACGGUUAAACGUAACGAAAGGAAGUAGACGGACGUAGAGACGNGCCGACGGACGACGACGAGGGGAGGAGG